RNAcentral lists this non-coding RNA (117 nucleotides) under Nomascus leucogenys (northern white-cheeked gibbon). The record is from Rfam by way of RNAcentral. Lineage: Eukaryota; Metazoa; Chordata; Mammalia; Primates; Hylobatidae.
GCCGGGCAUGGUGGCGCAUGCCUGUAAUCCCAGCACUAUGGGAGGCCGAGGUGGGAGGAUCACCUGAGGUCAGAAGUUUGAGACCAGCCUGACCAACAUGGUGAAACCCCAUCUCUA